RNAcentral lists this ribosomal RNA (24 nucleotides) under Pseudo-nitzschia caciantha. RNAcentral's name for it is "partial 5.8S ribosomal RNA". Lineage: Eukaryota; Bacillariophyta; Bacillariophyceae; Bacillariales; Bacillariaceae. The record is from RNAcentral.
CCACGUCAGUUACUUAUCGCGCUC